This 349-nucleotide unclassified non-coding RNA is filed under the name uncultured Glomus. RNAcentral describes it as "SSU rRNA". It matches the Rfam family "Eukaryotic small subunit ribosomal RNA", at positions 569 to 924 of the family's 1831-position model. Lineage: Eukaryota; Fungi; Glomeromycota; Glomeromycetes; Glomerales; Glomeraceae. The record is from RNAcentral.
AGCAGCCGCGGUAAUUCCAGCUCCAAUAGCGUAUAUUAAAGUUGUUGCAGUUAAAAAGCUCGUAGUUGAAUUUCGGGAUCAAUAUUUCGGUCAUGCCGUUGGUAUGCACUGUUAUCAUUGAUUUCUCACCUUCUAAAGAACCGUAAUGCCAUUAAUUUGGUGUUACGGGGAAUUAGGACUGUACUUUGAAAAAUUGAGUGUUUAAAGCAGGCUCACGCUUGAAUACAUUAGCAUGGAAUAAUGAAAUAGGACGUUUGAUUCUAUUUUGUUGGUUUCUAGGAUCGACGUAAUGAUUAAUAGGGAUAGUUGGGGGCAUUAGUAUUCAAUUGUCAGAGGUGAAAUUUCUUGG